GCGACCCCAGGUCAGGCGGGGCCACCCGCCGA
RNAcentral lists this ribosomal RNA (32 nucleotides) under Canna bangii. RNAcentral describes it as "partial 26S ribosomal RNA". The record is from RNAcentral. Lineage: Eukaryota; Viridiplantae; Streptophyta; Magnoliopsida; Zingiberales; Cannaceae.